Molecule: non-coding RNA, 318 nt
Organism: Pelobates cultripes (western spadefoot toad)
Lineage: Eukaryota; Metazoa; Chordata; Amphibia; Anura; Pelobatidae
Source: the annotation of a GenBank genome assembly
CACUCAAUGCACCCCUUACACAAACCCACUGCAUCCUUUACAUACACAGAAACAUCCCUUAUACAUACAAACACAGAUUCACACAAUGCAUCCCUUACACACAACCAGAAACACACACUAUAUCCCUUACACACAAACACACACUGCUUUCUAUCCCUUACACAAAAAAAACACACUGCAUCACCUACACAAACUAGUAUCCCUAUACACUACAUUCCAUAAGCACACUUUAGAUCCUCUACAACAGUGGUUCACAACCUUUUUUCUCUUGGCAGCCCAUUCCCAUAUAUAGUACCCUUUAUAUUAGCGAAAUAUUUG